GGCUGGUAAGGCACAAGGCUAUACACAAAACAAUCUCCCACCAAGCACUCAACAAACACAUACAUAUAUAUAGGACUCUCAAUCAGAGGCAACUAGAAAACACCUGCCUCCAAUUGAGAGUCCAACCCCAAUUAACAAAACAUAGAAAUACAAAAGACUAGACAGAACAUAGAAAUACUCUAACAUAGAACAGUGCCCAAAAACCCCCGGAAUACAUAAAUCAAAUACCCUACUAAACAAACCACCACCCCGAACCACAUAAAACAAAUACCCUCUGCCACGUCCUGACUAAACUACAAUAACAAAUAACCCCUAUUACUGGUCAGGACGUGACAGUUGGGACAUCAAAAAUCUGUUCCCAACUAUCUUGAAUUUUAUGCCGAAUAGUUGUCAAACCUCUUGACCUUAAAUGAAACUGAUACAUUUUACGAUUUAUACUAUUCAUUUUAAGCCAUGCCUGGUUUUUCAUUGGAGGCAGAAAAAACAAUGAAUUCCUUUCUCUUUUGAGUAAUUGUCUCUUUCAUUUUUGUCGUAGAGCUGUGAUGAGUUGGUUAUACUCCAUACACCUUUGUUUGUUGCUUGUGUGACAUAAUUUUACCGUCCUGAUUUACAAUGUCAUUCAUGAACAUGAUACCUUCCUUAUCCAUAUUUUCCAAUAAAAUUGGUCUUUCCUCUAUCUAGUACAUUGAACUUUAGCGAUAUUAUUUGCUAACAAUACACAUAUGAUUAUUCUAUUAAAGACAAUUUUGUGAGGGUAACCUACUAGAAAUGUAAACACUAAAAACUUGUUUGAUAUACUAUCAUUUCACAAUAACACAUUUUCUUGUAACACAAGUCAAAUUUUAACACAUUAAAAAUGGAUUCCACUGGUCUUUGCUUUCACAAACACCUUAAAGGUUGUUUGGAGUGCCUUUUUAGUUUCUAAAUACAUUACAAUUGCAUUGGACACAGGUUAUCAAGUCAUUUCACAUGCAAUGGAACAUGUUACAAUUCUGGUAGGGUAACUGAUGCUUUUGGUGGUUCCAUGCUUUCUUGGUUGUUCAUCUGAUGACAUCUUCUUGAUCCCGAUUAUAUCAUUCAACUCCUCUUCUAAUAGUUUUAUUUUUAUUCACCCAAAUUCU
Molecule: long non-coding RNA, 1121 nt
Filed under: Salmo salar (Atlantic salmon)
Lineage: Eukaryota; Metazoa; Chordata; Actinopteri; Salmoniformes; Salmonidae
Description: lncRNA (ENSSSAG00000114408.1)
Source: RNAcentral